This 23-nucleotide non-coding RNA is filed under the name Cricetulus griseus (Chinese hamster). Lineage: Eukaryota; Metazoa; Chordata; Mammalia; Rodentia; Cricetidae. The record is from RNAcentral.
AAUCUCAAGAAAACUCCUCUAGA